RNAcentral lists this ribosomal RNA (544 nucleotides) under uncultured bacterium. RNAcentral's name for it is "bacterial SSU rRNA". It matches the Rfam family "Bacterial small subunit ribosomal RNA", at positions 354 to 896 of the family's 1533-position model. The record is from RNAcentral.
GUGAGGAAUAUUGGUCAAAUGGGCGAGAGCCUGAACCAGCCAAGUCGCGUGAAGGAUGACUGUCUUAUGGAUUGUAAACUUCUUUUAUACGGGAAUAACAAGAGCCACGAGUGACUCCCUGCAUGUACCGUAUGAAUAAGCAUCGGCUAACUCCGUGCCAGCAGCCGCGGUAAUACGGAGGAUGCGAGCGUUAUCCGGAUUUAUUGGGUUUAAAGGGUGCGUAGGCGGCCUGUUAAGUCAGCGGUGAAAUCUAGGAGCUUAACUCCUAAAUUGCCAUUGAUACUGGCGGGCUUGAGUGUAGAUGAGGUAGGCGGAAUGCGUGGUGUAGCGGUGGAAUGCAUAGAUAUCACGCAGAACUCCGAUUGCGAAGGCAGCUUACUAAGGUACAACUGACGCUGAAGCACGAAAGCGUGGGUAUCAAACAGGAUUAGAUACCCUGGUAGUCCACGCAGUAAACGAUGAUAACUGGGCGUAUGCGAUAUACAGUAUGCUCCUAAGCGAAAAGCGUUAAGUUAUCCACCUGGGGAGUACGCCGGCAACGGUG